Molecule: transfer RNA, 94 nt
Filed under: Oryzias latipes (Japanese medaka)
Lineage: Eukaryota; Metazoa; Chordata; Actinopteri; Beloniformes; Adrianichthyidae
Rfam family: tRNA
About the family: Transfer RNA (tRNA) molecules are approximately 80 nucleotides in length. Their secondary structure includes four short double-helical elements and three loops (D, anti-codon, and T loops). Further hydrogen bonds mediate the characteristic L-shaped molecular structure. tRNAs have two regions of fundamental functional importance: the anti-codon, which is responsible for specific mRNA codon recognition, and the 3' end, to which the tRNAs corresponding amino acid is attached (by aminoacyl-tRNA synthetases). tRNAs cope with the degeneracy of the genetic code in two manners: having more than one tRNA (with a specific anti-codon) for a particular amino acid; and 'wobble' base-pairing, i.e. permitting non-standard base-pairing at the 3rd anti-codon position.
Source: Rfam by way of RNAcentral
GCUCCAGUGGCGCAAUCGGUCAGCGCGUGGUACUUAUAUGACAGUAUUGUAAUGAGCAAUGCCGAGGUUGUGAGUUCAAGCCUCACCUGGAGCA